ACCCCACACCAGGAGACACAUCCUCCACCCUACAUUCAACCCCACACCAGGAGACACAUCCUCCAUUCUGCAUUAAACCCCACACCAGGAGACACACCCUCCAUCCUACAUUCAACCCCACACCAGGAGACACACCCUCCAUCCCGCAUUCAACCCCACACCUGGAGACACACUCUCCACCCUACAUUCAACCCCACACCUGGAGACACACCCUCCAUCCUACAUUCAACCCCACACCAGGAGACACACCCUCCACCCUAUAUUAAACCCCACACCAGGAGACACACCCUCCAUCCCACAUUCAACCCCACACCAGGAGACACGCCCACCAUCCUGUAUUCAACCCCACACCUGGAGACACACCCUCCAUCCUACAUUAAACCUGACAGCAGGAGACACACCCUCCAUCCCACAUUCAACCCCACACCUGGAGACACGCCCACCAUCCUGUAUUCAACCCCACACCUGGAGACGCACCCUCCACCCUACAUUAAACCCCACACAUGGAGACACAUUCUCCAUCCUACAUUAAACCCCACACCAGGAGACACACUCUCCAUCCUGUAUUCAACCCCACACCAGGAGACACACCCUCCAUCCCACAUUAAAUCCCACACCAGGUUUCCUUCUCUGCUGUAUCAUUCCCUUCACUGGAAAAAUAUUUGCCUUCCUAUCAUCCUCUCCAGUCACAGGACCUGGCGCUGCUCCCCCUGGCAGUAAAACUCUUUGAAAUAGGUGUUUUAUUCUCUGUCUCUACUUCCUCCCCUCCUUUCCAUUUUCCUUUCAAGCUUUCCUCUGAAACUGCUCAUGUCCAGGUUACCUAUGCCCUGUAUUUUGCGGAAUUGAAGCAGCAGCACCUGCAUUCAUCUCAGUUCACCUGAAAGCAGCACAGCACACCUUCGACUGCAUCCUCCUACAGCUCUCUCUGGUGUUCCUGUCAAUCCUGUCUCUUGGCUCUGCUACAACCCAGUGGCUGUCCUUUUAGUAUCCAUGGCAGUUCUUUUCUCUGUCCUCAGACCCUUUCUGUUUGUUUUUCCUACCCUCAUUUCCCAGGUAACUUUUUCCAUUCUCACCCAUUCGCAGAUGACUAUUGAUUUUAUUUUUUAUUUUAUUAAUUUAUUAUACCUUUUUUCUCGAGAUAGAGUCUCGCUCUGUCACCCAGGCUGGAGCACAGUGGCGAGGUCUUAGCUCACUGCAACCUCUGCCUCCUGGAUUCAAAAGAUUCCCCUGCUUCUGUGUCCCAAGUAGUGGGGACUAUAAGUGCGUACCACCGUGCCCAGCUAAUUUUUGUAUUUUUAGUCGAGACGGGGUUUCCCCAUGUUGGCAAGGCUAGGCUUGAACUCCUGACCGCCUCAGCCUCCAAAAGUGCUGGGAUUAUAAGCAUGAGCCACCGAGCCCGGCCAGGACUCCUGAUUUUAAAGUGCAACCUGGACUUUUCCAUGAAAUUCAGACACAUGUAUCCAACAGUUUUCUCAACCCACCCCAGAGAGCAGACUAAGCUUUCCCAAACCUGAUUCCUGAUGUGCUCCCAAGUCUGCUUUUCCACAUGGUCUUCCCAGUUUGCUAGAGAAUAACUCCCUCUUUCUAAUUGGGCAGGAGAAAAACCUGGAGUCAACUUUUAUUCCUCCUUUUCUGUCAAAUACCAAAUCAGCACAUCAGCCAAUUCAGCUAGUCCUACUCAAAAGACAUUGAGAUGCUGAACAGUCCUCCCCACCUCAUCCUUCAGAGGCCGGAGCCGCCAUUCUCUCUCACCGGAAUGCAUCCACUGUGCUUCUUUCUUGUCCACUUUUGUGCCAUAAUCAACGCAGCAGCCCGAAGAUUCUCUUACAUCACAAGCUAGAUCGUACCUACCACAAUCACUCGUUAUCUUUUCAACAACUUUACAGAAGACUCACAAUCAACAACAAGCACCUACCAAAGAACGGCAAUUUUGACUUCCUAUCAUUCUACCAUAACUUUUUUCCUUCUUUUUUUUCCUCACACUUAACCCAGCAUUGCCCAUCCUCAGCACCUUGCAGGAGCUGUUUCCACUGCCUGAAGGCUCUUCCUAGGUGGCCUCAUAGUUCAUUCCUCUUCUCCUCCAGCUACUUAAAGCCCAUCUUCUUAGUGAAGUCCGUUCUCACCAUCUGAUGUUACAGCCUCAGCCCCUUCCCCUUGUUUGGCCAUACUCUGUUACCCUGCUUCUACACGGCACACCACAAUGGAAACUGCUAAGUGUUUAAUCACUCACUUCUUCCUUUUUUCGCUCACAAACGUAUGAAUUCCAAGAGGGUUGGAAUUCCCUUUGGUCUGAGUUCUACCCCAGGGUUGAAAUCUGUGUAAGGCUUUGAAUGACACUGAAUAAUAUUUGUUGAGUGAGUGAAUAUCUUACAUUCUAAUAUCAAGAGACUCUUACAUCCUAAAGCCUACAUUAUAACACUCAAAUCUGUAAUAAAUUAAUAUAAUUUUGCUGUUCAACACUUCAAACAUAAGAACAUCUUAUGUGCAUAUGUGCACUCCUAUGUAUAUAAGCUUUUAGACUACAAACCUUAUAAACCUUUUUCUAAAAUUAUAUCAUCUGGGAAUGUGACCACAUAUUCCAAUGCUGGAUAUGUUUGAAUUGGUAUUCUGAGCCAAAUUAUCUUAAGAUCUAGAGUUUCCUUCUAAUUUUAAUAAAUGUUUGGGUUAGCUCUACAAUAGAAUUAUAUUUAUUAAAACAUGUAAUCCUCAAAGUAAUAUGAACUAGAUAGCUAUGUCUUAAACUAUCCAUUGCAUAACGAAAAUAAAGCCCAGUAAAUUCUAGUGACCUACCUGACGUCAGACAACUAAUAAAUAAAUGAUCUUGGAUAUAAUCCACGGUCUAAGUCUAACCUAUGACUUAAAAUAUCUAUUAAAUUAUAUCCCAAUCAAUAACUACUAAACUCUGCUCAAAGUAGAUAUAAUGGUUAGUGUCCUUUUCUACAGAGUUUUUAGACCAGUUGCUCAAUUAUAUUGUACAAUAAAGUCCAAUCAUAAAACACAUCCUUAAUGUUCAUGGCUGUUAUGUAUCAAGAUGUUUUUAAACCCCCAAAUUUGUGACAACCAAGUAGCUCAUAAUUUUCUCCAUAAAUAUUAUAAAUUAUUUCUGACUAAAAAGAGUAAUUUUCCUAGACCUUUAACAACUCUAAAUAUAAAACCAAUUACAAGCUAUUGAAAUACAUUCUAUCAAUAUUUUGACUUUCAGGUAAUUUUUACCUCUCAUACUUCAGCAGCUUUUGCAGUGUCACAAUGUAUUUUCUGUAUUCAGUAACAAUUGAUUAUAGAUUCAUUAAUGGCAAUAACUUGAGUCAGCACCAAAUUCAAUAUUCUAUGAAUUUUUAAUCUAUUUUUUUCUAGUUGGAAAAUAUUUUUUUAGAUUGUUUCAUUUGCAGCAUCAAUCAAUCCUAGUAUUUGGUUUCAUCACACACACGUUCACAGAGCAAAAUCUGUCCAACCUGCUACCCUGGGAAAAUUGGGGAAAGCAUUUUUAUGAGGGUUAUCCUAAAUUAAACAUUUCUUCACCAAGGAUAUAUUUUCAACUACAGAAGAGUAUUAUGAAAACUAACAGGAUAUUGAUAUACUGAAAUGUUUAAAAUACACAUUAACUGUGCAUUGAAUCUAAUUCAAAGGCAUUGUCUUAACCCUCUUUGAGGUUACUGCCACCAUGAUGGAAGGAAGCCAUCUGUUACCAGAGGCAGUGAUGCUAUGAAAAGGGCGUGAGGCUCAGAGUCAUGGGUCCAACCUCACAUAUGGCCUCAAUAAAUCACCUAGCAUUUCAGGAUAAUUUUCCUCCUCUAAGAGAACAGGAGCAUAUUUGUCUCAAAGCUGUUACAAAAAUUAUUAUAAAAAGGACAGGUGUAGAGAUGAGACAUUAGACAGUGAAUUCUCUGAGGGCCAGCUGUCUCACACACUUCAAUUAGGAGAAAUAAGAAAGGUCUGUAUUUUUGUUGUUGUUGUUGUUAAAGGCUAAGCAAUUACAACAUUCUGCAUAUAAUUAUUAUUGUUAUAAAUUUGCAUACAAUCCCCCAACAAAUGUUGAGCCAGAUAUCUUCUUUACUGCAGGCUGUUUCUGUUAAGUAGGCUAAUAACUACAACCUAUGGACUUAUGACUACUGUUAGUAAGCCAAGUCUUAAGAAUGUGAUUGGGCACAAGACAGGGAUGCCCUCUCUCACCACUCCUAUUCAACAUAGUGUUGGAAGUUCUGGCUAGGGCAAUCAGGCAAGAGAAAGAAAUCAAGGGUAUUCAGAUAGGAAAAGAAGAAGUCAAAU
RNAcentral lists this long non-coding RNA (4266 nucleotides) under Macaca fascicularis (crab-eating macaque). Its description in RNAcentral is "lncRNA (ENSMFAG00000060518.1)". Lineage: Eukaryota; Metazoa; Chordata; Mammalia; Primates; Cercopithecidae. The record is from RNAcentral.